UAUAAUUAGGUCUUUCCACCUUUCCGUGGAAAGACCUAUUGCUUUUGUUCUGAUUAUUAGGUCUUUCCACCUUUCCGUGGAAAGACCUAUUGGAUUUCUUCUGAUUAUUAUUAUUAUUUUUUUUUUUAUUCUUCCGCCUAAUUCUUUUCUUGCGUAGUAUUGAUGUUUCAAAAGAUGUCGCUUAGAUAUUUGGAAUAUGAUAUCGUAAAGCGUAUGCACUUUUAAAACUGACCACUGCGUAACCAAAUACUUUACGUUGUAAGAGUUAUCUCCCCAAACACUGUUUUUCUUGUGGCCACUUCUCCUUCGCAACCGUAAAAGAUUACGACAAAUUUAUUUUGCCAAAUUGCUCGUUAUAUCCUCAGGAUGUUCUGUUUCAUUUUGACUGAAGCCGUAUAGAGAUUCCAUAUGAGAGUUAGUUCCCC
RNAcentral lists this long non-coding RNA (425 nucleotides) under Mytilus galloprovincialis (Mediterranean mussel). The record is from RNAcentral. Lineage: Eukaryota; Metazoa; Mollusca; Bivalvia; Mytilida; Mytilidae.